AUGGAUGAUGUGCGGGUUCAGGAGGUUC
This 28-nucleotide non-coding RNA is filed under the name Homo sapiens (human). Lineage: Eukaryota; Metazoa; Chordata; Mammalia; Primates; Hominidae. The record is from RNAcentral.